GACGAACGCUGGCGGCGUGCUUAACACAUGCAAGUCGAACGAAGCUUGAUUACGGAUUCUUCGGAUGAAGUAUGAUAUGACUGAGUGGCGGACGGGUGAGUAACGCGUGAGUAACCUGCCCUUCAGAGGGGGAUAGCGUUUGGAAACGAACGGUAAUACCGCAUAAUGUAUUUUGACCGCAUGAUCGAAAUACCAAAGAUUUAUCGCUGAAGGAUGGACUCGCGUCUGAUUAUGUAGUUGGUGGGGUAACGGCCUACCAAGCCGACGAUCAGUAGCCGGACUGAGAGGUUGAUCGGCCACAUUGGGACUGAGACACGGCCCAGACUCCUACGGGAGGCAGCAGUGGGGAAUAUUGCACAAUGGGCGCAAGCCUGAUGCAGCAACGCCGCGUGAAGGAAGACGGUUUUCGGAUUGUAAACUUCUGUUCUUAGUGAAGAAUAAUGACGGUAGCUAAGGAGCAAGCCACGGCUAACUACGUG
Molecule: ribosomal RNA, 479 nt
Filed under: uncultured bacterium
Lineage: Bacteria
Description: partial 16S ribosomal RNA
Rfam family: Bacterial small subunit ribosomal RNA
Source: RNAcentral